CGUAGCAAUACGUCAGCGGCAGACGGGUGAGUAACGCGUGGGAACGUACCUUUUGGUUCGGAACAACACAGGGAAACUUGUGCUAAUACCGGAUAAGCCCUUACGGGGAAAGAUUUAUCGCCGAAAGAUCGGCCCGCGUCUGAUUAGCUAGUUGGUGAGGUAACGGCUCACCAAGGCGACGAUCAGUAGCUGGUCUGAGAGGAUGAUCAGCCACAUUGGGACUGAGACACGGCCCAAACUCCUACGGGAGGCAGCAGUGGGGAAUAUUGGACAAUGGGCGCAAGCCUGAUCCAGCCAUGCCGCGUGAGUGAUGAAGGCCCUAGGGUUGUAAAGCUCUUUUGUGCGGGAAGAUAAUGACGGUACCGCAAGAAUAAGCCCCGGCUAACUUCGUGCCAGCAGCCGCGGUAAUACGAAGGGGGCUAGCGUUGCUCGGAAUCACUGGGCGUAAAGGGUGCGUAGGCGGGUCUUUAAGUCAGGGGUGAAAUCCUGGAGCUCAACUCCAGAACUGCCUUUGAUACUGAAGAUCUUGAGUUCGGGAGAGGUGAGUGGAACUGCGAGUGUAGAGGUGAAAUUCGUAGAUAUUCGCAAGAACACCAGUGGCGAAGGCGGCUCACUGGCCCGAUACUGACGCUGAGC
Molecule: ribosomal RNA, 636 nt
Filed under: Bradyrhizobium sp.
Lineage: Bacteria; Pseudomonadati; Pseudomonadota; Alphaproteobacteria; Hyphomicrobiales; Nitrobacteraceae
Description: bacterial SSU rRNA
Rfam family: Bacterial small subunit ribosomal RNA
Source: RNAcentral